UUCUCUAAUUAGUGUGGAAACGGGGGACCUAAUUCUUGUAUUCUGUGAAAACGGCUGUCAAGAAAGAUGUAAAACGUGAAAUAAGACGUCAAGAUGGCGAUAAAGACUAUCAGCACAGUGGAACAGAACAUGGUUGAUAAGUGAAUUCGGUUUUCAAUAUUUAUCUAAUGUAAGUUUAAAAUUUGAACGUGUUAUUCGAAAAGUUAUUGAUUCGAACGUCUUUGACCUGAGGAUGGCCCAUAGAAUGGGUUGAAAACGUUUGUUCAGCAGAAUAAAUGGGCUGUCUCAGUAUUAAGUAAACUUCGAAGUCGGAGUCGCCGAAGUCGAAAGAAUUUUAUGGACUCCGACUCCACUACAUUGCUGAGAGCAGUGGUGAUAUUCGAAAUAUUUAACAAAGGGUUUUCUAACAGAAAAUUUUUCCUUAAUUUUUUUUUCGAGUUGACUGACUGCCUGUGAGCAGUCAACUUGAGAAGAACCCGGAUAUUACACGCGAUGAUAAAACUGACAUAACUACGCGGUAAGUCACGAAC
Long non-coding RNA from Centruroides sculpturatus (bark scorpion), 530 nucleotides. RefSeq lists it as uncharacterized. The record is from RefSeq and is a predicted model, not a curated record. NCBI's taxonomy places the organism in Eukaryota, Metazoa, Arthropoda, Arachnida, Scorpiones, Buthidae. The transcript is spliced from 3 exons.